Molecule: long non-coding RNA, 784 nt
Organism: Bos indicus x Bos taurus (hybrid cattle)
Lineage: Eukaryota; Metazoa; Chordata; Mammalia; Artiodactyla; Bovidae
Source: Ensembl
GGCAGGAUAGUUUUCCCAGAUGCAGGGAGCUGGGAGGAAACAGGUCAAAAGCAGCAGGGUUAUAUCCUGCGUGUUGUUUUGGACACGAAGACCAAUGGUAAUAACCAGGAAGAAGAACCUGUACGCAGAGCACACUGAAAUAGCCACUUAGUGACUUUCUUUGCCAGCCUGGAUUUUACUUAUGUGGACUCUCAGUGGGCAGAAAUACCAGCAUCAAGACAGUUGCAGACUAGCAUAGCAGCUCCUGUUGACAGCAUGACCUAACUCUUUGCAGAAGGCAGCGGCCAUAGCAGAUGGCGCGGUGACCACCUGGCAUAUUUGUAGUCAGAAACUGGGAGAGUCUAAUUCUGUGGUCAAGAUUUUUCAGCUUAAAUUUGGGAGUCUGGGUCCUGUGCGCCAAGCCAAGGGAUCAAAACACAUUCUGAUGAAAAGCCUUCCAGAGUCAGCACACUCAAGGAGUUCCACUGAGGCCGGGACCAGUAAAUAACACCAACCCCAAGGAGUCACAUGAGGCGUGUGAUUGCGUCUUCCAGGUGGAUGCCAUCCUGCCUUCCAGCUUGUGCACAAUUCAGACAUCUUUUACAGAGCAUUUUCUCAUACAAGUCUUGACCCAAUGCCUAUUACUCGGAUGUGAUGCUCCUCAUUUCACAAGUGAGAAAGCGAAGCCCAGAAAGAGGGGUCCGGACUCACCUGGAGGACUGGGCCACCUGGAGGAGGGAGAAUGAAGAAUCUGUGGAGCUCAGUGUGAAAUAAAAACGCGAGGCCCUUUGUUGAAAACUGGAGA